AUUUAAAUAGUUUAAUUAAAAUAUUGAAUUGUGAUUUCAAAGAUAUAUUUAUUUAUAAUAUUUUAAAUU
This 69-nucleotide transfer RNA is filed under the name Bombus consobrinus. RNAcentral describes it as "tRNA-His". The record is from RNAcentral. Lineage: Eukaryota; Metazoa; Arthropoda; Insecta; Hymenoptera; Apidae.